UCCUGGUUUCCCAGGCAGUCCCGCCAGAGUGCUCCAUCCGAAGACAGUAGCAACUGGCAGCAGGGGUUGCGCUCGUUAGAGGACUUAACCCAACGUCUCACGACACGAGCUGACGACAGCCAUGCAGCACCUGUGUACCUGUCUAAACCGAAGCUUAGAACGCUGUAUUUCUACAGCUGUCAGGCACAUGUCAAGCCCAGGUAAGGUUCCUCGCGUAGUGUCGAAUUAAACCACAUGUUCCACCGCUUGUGCGGACCCCCGUCAAUUCCUUUAAGUUUUAGUCUUGCGACCGUAAUCCCCAGGCGAACCACUUAACGCGUUAGCUUCGACACCGAUUCGACUAGGUCGAACCGACAUCCAGUGGUCAUCGUUUACGGCGUGGACUAC
Molecule: unclassified non-coding RNA, 387 nt
Filed under: uncultured bacterium
Lineage: Bacteria
Description: contains 16S-23S intergenic spacer region
Source: RNAcentral